Molecule: ribosomal RNA, 945 nt
Filed under: uncultured bacterium
Lineage: Bacteria
Description: bacterial SSU rRNA
Rfam family: Bacterial small subunit ribosomal RNA
Source: RNAcentral
AUACGGAGGAUGCGAGCGUUAUCCGGAUUUAUUGGGUUUAAAGGGAGCACAGACGGGUCGUUAAGUCAGCUGUGAAAGUUUGGGGCUCAACCUUAAAAUUGCAGUUGAUACUGGCGUCCUUGAGUGCGGUUGAGGUGUGCGGAAUUCGUGGUGUAGCGGUGAAAUGCUUAGAUAUCACGAAGAACUCCGAUUGCGAAGGCAGCACACUAAGCCGUAACUGACGUUCAUGCUCGAAAGUGUGGGUAUCAAACAGGAUUAGAUACCCUGGUAGUCCACACGGUAAACGAUGGAUACUCGCUGUUGGCGAUAUACGGUCAGCGGCUUAGCGAAAGCGUUAAGUAUCCCACCUGGGGAGUACGCCGGCAACGGUGAAACUCAAAGGAAUUGACGGGGGCCCGCACAAGCGGAGGAACAUGUGGUUUAAUUCGAUGAUACGCGAGGAACCUUACCCGGGCUUAAAUUGCAAAGGAAUAAUCUGGAAACAGGUUAGUCUUCGGACCUUUGUGAAGGUGCUGCAUGGUUGUCGUCAGCUCGUGCCGUGAGGUGUCGGCUUAAGUGCCAUAACGAGCGCAACCCUCGCCGCCAGUUACUAACAGUUAAAGCUGAGGACUCUGGCGGGACUGCCAUCGUAAGAUGUGAGGAAGGUGGGGAUGACGUCAAAUCAGCACGGCCCUUACGUCCGGGGCUACACACGUGUUACAAUGGGCGGUACAGAAGGCAGCUACCUGGCGACAGGAUGCCAAUCCCUAAAGCCGCUCUCAGUUCGGACUGGAGUCUGCAACCCGACUCCACGAAGCUGGAUUCGCUAGUAAUCGCGCAUCAGCCACGGCGCGGUGAAUACGUUCCCGGGCCUUGUACACACCGCCCGUCAAGCCAUGAAAGCCGGGGGUACCUGAAGUGCGUAACCGCAAGGAGCGCCCUAGGGUAAAACUGGUAAUUGGGGCU